RNAcentral lists this ribosomal RNA (715 nucleotides) under Enterococcus faecium. RNAcentral describes it as "bacterial SSU rRNA". It matches the Rfam family "Bacterial small subunit ribosomal RNA", at positions 62 to 748 of the family's 1533-position model. Lineage: Bacteria; Bacillati; Bacillota; Bacilli; Lactobacillales; Enterococcaceae. The record is from RNAcentral.
UCGAACGCUUCUUUUUCCACCGGAGCUUGCUCCACCGGAAAAAGAGGAGUGGCGAACGGGUGAGUAACACGUGGGUAACCUGCCCAUCAGAAGGGGAUAACACUUGGAAACAGGUGCUAAUACCGUAUAACAAUCAAAACCGCAUGGUUUUGAUUUGAAAGGCGCUUUCGGGUGUCGCUGAUGGAUGGACCCGCGGUGCAUUAGCUAGUUGGUGAGGUAACGGCUCACCAAGGCCACGAUGCAUAGCCGACCUGAGAGGGUGAUCGGCCACAUUGGGACUGAGACACGGCCCAAACUCCUACGGGAGGCAGCAGUAGGGAAUCUUCGGCAAUGGACGAAAGUCUGACCGAGCAACGCCGCGUGAGUGAAGAAGGUUUUCGGAUCGUAAAACUCUGUUGUUAGAGAAGAACAAGGAUGAGAGUAACUGUUCAUCCCUUGACGGUAUCUAACCAGAAAGCCACGGCUAACUACGUGCCAGCAGCCGCGGUAAUACGUAGGUGGCAAGCGUUGUCCGGAUUUAUUGGGCGUAAAGCGAGCGCAGGCGGUUUCUUAAGUCUGAUGUGAAAGCCCCCGGCUCAACCGGGGAGGGUCAUUGGAAACUGGGAGACUUGAGUGCAGAAGAGGAGAGUGGAAUUCCAUGUGUAGCGGUGAAAUGCGUAGAUAUAUGGAGGAACACCAGUGGCGAAGGCGGCUCUCUGGUCUGUAACUGACGCUG